Molecule: ribosomal RNA, 394 nt
Filed under: uncultured ciliate
Lineage: Eukaryota; Ciliophora
Description: partial small subunit ribosomal RNA
Rfam family: Eukaryotic small subunit ribosomal RNA
Source: RNAcentral
GCUUGUCUCAAAGAUUAAGCCAUGCAUGUCUAAGUAUAAGCACCCUUAUACUGCGAAACUGCGUACAGCUCAUUAUAUCAGCAAUUAUUUAUUUGAAGGUCACCUAUUACAUGGAUAACCGUGGUAAUUCUAGAGCUAAUACAUGCUAUAUGCCCGGCUUCUGGCAGGGCUGUAUUUAUUAGAUACUAAACCAGUGUCGCAAGACAUUGUGGUGAAUCACAGUAACUGAUCGAAUCGGCGCGCAAGCGGCGAUAAAUCAUUCAAGUUUCUGCCCUAUCAGCUUUCGAUGGUAGUGUAUUGGACUACCAUGGCAGUCACGGGUAACGGAGAAUUAGGGUUCGGUUCCGGAGAGGGAGCCUGAGAAACGGCUACCACAUCUAAGGAAGGCAGCAGG